RNAcentral lists this ribosomal RNA (1315 nucleotides) under unidentified marine bacterioplankton. RNAcentral describes it as "bacterial SSU rRNA". It matches the Rfam family "Bacterial small subunit ribosomal RNA", at positions 9 to 1371 of the family's 1533-position model. The record is from RNAcentral.
GAGUUUGAUCAUGGCUCAGAACGUACGCUGGCGGCACGCCUAACACAUGCAAGUCGAACGAAGUAGCAAUACUUAGUGGCAGACGGGUGAGUAACAUGUAGGUAUCUACCCUUUGGCCUGGAAUAACACGAGGAAACUUGUGCUAAUACCGGAUAAGUCUUUACGGAGAAAGCUUUAUGCACCAUUGGAUGAGCCUGCACUUGAUUAGUUUGUUGGUAGGGUAAUGGCCUACCAAGACUUUGAUCAAUAGCUGAUUUGAGAGGAUGAUCAGCCACAUUGGGACUGAGACACGGCCCAAACUCCUACGGGAGGCAGCAGUGGGGAAUCUUGCACAAUGGAGGAAACUCUGAUGCAGCGAUGCCGCGUGGGUGAAGAAGGCCCUUGGGUUGUAAAGCUCUUUCGUCGGGGAAGAAAAUGACUGUACCCGAAUAAGAAGGUCCGGCUAACUUCGUGCCAGCAGCCGCGGUAAUACGAAGGGACCUAGCGUAGUUCGGAAUUACUGGGCUUAAAGAGUUCGUAGGUGGUUGAAAAAGUUGGUGGUGAAAUCCCAGAGCUUAACUCUGGAACUGCCAUCAAAACUUUUCAGCUAGAGUCUGAUAGAGGAAAGCAGAAUUUCUAGUGUAGAGGUGAAAUUCGUAGAUAUUAGAAAGAAUACCAAUUGCGAAGGCAGCUUUCUGGAUCAUUACUGACACUGAGGAACGAAAGCAUGGGUAGCGAAGAGGAUUAGAUACCCUCGUAGUCCAUGCCGUAAACGAUGUGUGUUAGACGUUGGAAAUUUAUUUUCAGUGUCGCAGCGAAAGCGAUAAACACACCGCCUGGGGAGUACGACCGCAAGGUUAAAACUCAAAUGAAUUGACGGGGACCCGCACAAGUAGUGGAGCAUGUGGUUUAAUUCGAAGAUACGCGCAGAACCUUACCAACACUUGACAUGUUCGUCGCGACUUUAAGAGAUUAAAGUUUUCGGUUCGGCCGGACGAAACACAGGUGCUGCAUGGCUGUCGUCAGCUCGUGUCGUGAGAUGUUGGGUUAAGUCCCGCAACGAGCGCAACCCUCACUUUUAGUUGCCAUCAUUUAGUUGGGCACUCUGAAAGAACUGCCAGUGAUAAGCUGGAGGAAGGUGGGGAUGACGUCAAGUCCUCAUGGCCCUUACGUGUUGGGCUACACACGUGCUACAAUGGUAUCUACAACAGGAAGCAAAACGGCGACGUUAAGCAAAUCCUUAAAAGAUACCUCAGUUCGGAUUGUACUCUGCAACUCGAGUACAUGAAGCUGGAAUUACUAGUAAUCGUGGAUCAGCGUGCCACGGUGAAUGCGU